AAACCAACAGGGAUUGCCUUAGUAGUGGCGAAUGAAGCGGCAAGAGCUCAAAUUUGAAAUCUGGUAUCUUCGAUAUCCGAGUUGUAAUUUGAAGAAAACAAUCUUGGAAUUGGUCCUUGUCUAUGUUCCUUGGAACAGGACGUCACAGAGGGUGAGAAUCCCGUGCGACAAGGAACUCUUUUCUAUAUAAGAUGUCUUCGAA
Molecule: ribosomal RNA, 202 nt
Filed under: uncultured Candida
Lineage: Eukaryota; Fungi; Ascomycota; Saccharomycetes; Saccharomycetales
Description: partial 26S ribosomal RNA
Rfam family: Eukaryotic large subunit ribosomal RNA
Source: RNAcentral